GAUGAACGCUGGCGGCGUGCUUAACACAUGCAAGUCGAACGAUGAAGCCCAGCUUGCUGGGUGGAUUAGUGGCGAACGGGUGAGUAACACGUGAGUAACCUGCCCUUAACUCCGGGAUAAGCCUGGGAAACUGGGUCUAAUACCGGAUAGGAGCGUCCACCGCAUGGUGGGUGUUGGAAAGAUUUAUCGGUUUUGGAUGGACUCGCGGCAUAUCAGCUUGUUGGUGAGGUAAUGGCUCACCAAGGCGACGACGGGUAGCCGGCCUGAGAGGGUGACCGGCCACACUGGGACUGAGACACGGCCCAGACUCCUACGGGAGGCAGCAGUGGGGAAUAUUGCACAAUGGGCGCAAGCCUGAUGCAGCGACGCCGCGUGAGGGAUGACGGCCUUCGGGUUGUAAACCUCUUUCAGUAGGGAAGAAGCGAAAGUGACGGUACCUGCAGAAGAAGCACCGGCUAACUACGUG
This 466-nucleotide ribosomal RNA is filed under the name uncultured bacterium. RNAcentral describes it as "partial 16S ribosomal RNA". It matches the Rfam family "Bacterial small subunit ribosomal RNA", at positions 28 to 507 of the family's 1533-position model. The record is from RNAcentral.